AUACAUUGGGUGCAUGUAUGCAAUUAUAAAAUGAUAGGUAAGAUAAUUUUAAAAGGAAAGGGAAUAGGGUUGGAAAGUAUUUAUAGAAGAUGAGUAUUUGAGUUGGACCUCUGAGGACCCGUGAGGGCAGGCAAUGGAAGGGGAGAUGUUGCUGGCAGGGAACACUUUGAGAGAAGCCCUAAAAGAGUCACUGAGGUGCAGAGGAAUCCUGGCCUAUCUGUGUAGCAGGCCACCUCUGGACUGAAGCCUGGAUUUCAGUGGGCAUCUGGAUGUCCUGUCUGGGAAUCUGGGCUCCAGUUCCCUCUCACAGCGAGCCCUCAAGGGAGCACUGAAGACCUUAACAGCCUCAGAGGAAGACCUGAGCCCACAGGAUCUUCUCAAGCCUGGCAGGCCCUGAGCUAAACAUCAAAAGGCAAACAGAACCUUCAGCGACCAUGGAGGACCCUGAGGAGUAGCUCUAGCUGCCAACCAAGUAUAAGAGACACCUGACAUUUCCAUACCACAAACACCGGACAGGAACAAAGAAACCAGCUACGCCAGGAUGUGACCUUCUCAGUCCCCUGCCUUCUCAGUCCCCCCCAAAGACGACACCCACAAAUAAGCAGGAAGCAGUCCUGAGAAUUCGCCACCCCAAUUCCUUUAACCUGU
Molecule: long non-coding RNA, 648 nt
Organism: Myodes glareolus (Bank vole)
Lineage: Eukaryota; Metazoa; Chordata; Mammalia; Rodentia; Cricetidae
Source: RefSeq, a predicted model, not a curated record